Molecule: long non-coding RNA, 805 nt
Filed under: Phoenix dactylifera (date palm)
Lineage: Eukaryota; Viridiplantae; Streptophyta; Magnoliopsida; Arecales; Arecaceae
Description: long non-coding RNA (PDAC_LNC017771)
Source: RNAcentral
AAAUAUUAUAGUUUAAUUCGAUCCCUCCAACCUACCCCAUCUUAUUUUGAGACUCUACUCGGCCCAUCCUGCCCCGAGACAAGCAAGGGAUGAUUCAUUGUUGUCCCUAAAUUGGUGGAAGUUUGGAUAUGGUCACUCAAAAAGAUGAAAGAACUUAUUUCACUUGGGGUUUGCUCAAAUUGAGGGGUCAUGCUUCACCUCAAUAUGAAUGUUGCAGCUUCUAGUGAUGCUCUUUGGGAGAGAUUUUUAGUUUUAAUGGCACAAACAAGACACAUGCUCCAUUUGCUCGACAACCUCAUAGGUAUUACAGAGAAAAAAAGAGUUUUGAGUAAUAGAAAGUUUGAGCCUAACCAAGAAAGAAAUCCUAUUCAAUUUUAAAACAUAAGUAGUUAAGUUUGUUAAUUUUUGUCUUAAUCACUAAAUCUUUGCAUCUAGUUCCUUACAUUUUUCCUUUUUUUUAUUUUAUACAACAGAUGACUCGCUCUAGUAUGAAUACAUCCAAAAAUUAAAAAAAAAGCAAAUCUUAGAGAUCACAAGGCAGCUCUAUCUCUCCGGUUCACAUGACCCCACCCGAGUGAUCUACCAUAAAGAAAGCUAUUCAGUCCGCAGCUCCAUUCACUUCUCUGUAAACAUGUCUCUUGCCGAAGGUGAUACCUCUACUUGCUAUAUCCUAGAUAUCUCAGAGCAAGGGAUGGUGGAACCAACCUCCAUGUGUUGCCUCCAGAUCUACCCAACCACCAAGGCCAAGUCAUCUAACAGGAUGACAUUGGCCCUCAAAACGCAUUGGGCGUGAUUGAAGCCAACU